RNAcentral lists this ribosomal RNA (469 nucleotides) under uncultured bacterium. RNAcentral's name for it is "partial 16S ribosomal RNA". It matches the Rfam family "Bacterial small subunit ribosomal RNA", at positions 27 to 507 of the family's 1533-position model. The record is from RNAcentral.
GGACGAACGCUGGCGGCGUGCUUAACACAUGCAAGUCGAACGGAAGGGCCCUGCUUUUGUGGGGUGCUCGAGUGGCGAACGGGUGAGUAACACGUGAGUAACCUGCCCUUGACUUUGGGAUAACUUCAGGAAACUGGGGCUAAUACCGGAUAGGAGCUCCUGCUGCAUGGUGGGGGUUGGAAAGUUUCGGCGGUUGGGGAUGGACUCGCGGCUUAUCAGCUUGUUGGUGGGGUAGUGGCUUACCAAGGCUUUGACGGGUAGCCGGCCUGAGAGGGUGACCGGCCACAUUGGGACUGAGAUACGGCCCAGACUCCUACGGGAGGCAGCAGUGGGGAAUAUUGCACAAUGGGCGGAAGCCUGAUGCAGCAACGCCGCGUGCGGGAUGACGGCCUUCGGGUUGUAAACCGCUUUCGCCUGUGACGAAGCGUGAGUGACGGUAAUGGGUAAAGAAGCACCGGCUAACUACGUG